ACUCCUACGGGAGGCAGCAGUGGGGAAUAUUGCACAAUGGGCGCAAGCCUGAUGCAGCCAUGCCGCGUGUAUGAAGAAGGCCUUCGGGUUGUAAAGUACUUUCAGCGGGGAGGAAGGCGAUAAGGUUAAUAACCUUGUUGAUUGACGUUACCCGCAGAAGAAGCACCGGCUAACUCCGUGCCAGCAGCCGCGGUAAUACGGAGGGUGCAAGCGUUAAUCGGAAUUACUGGGCGUAAAGCGCACGCAGGCGGUCUGUCAAGUCGGAUGUGAAAUCCCCGGGCUCAACCUGGGAACUGCAUUCGAAACUGGCAGGCUAGAGUCUUGUAGAGGGGGGUAGAAUUCCAGGUGUAGCGGUGAAAUGCGUAGAGAUCUGGAGGAAUACCGGUGGCGAAGGCGGCCCCCUGGACAAAGACUGACGCUCAGGUGCGAAAGCGUGGGGAGCAAACAGGAUUAGAAACCCUAGUAGUCCCAUGAU
Molecule: ribosomal RNA, 475 nt
Filed under: uncultured organism
Description: partial 16S ribosomal RNA
Rfam family: Bacterial small subunit ribosomal RNA
Source: RNAcentral